AAAGUCGUAACAAGGUAUCCGUAGGUGAACCUGCGGAUGGAUCAUUACUGUAUAGACUAAGAACCUGGCUAGACUUUAAACUGUCUGCCUAUUCUUAUGUCAACCAACACUUUGUGAACUGUUGAUGUCUCUGGCAGUUUCAUUUGCCCAGCUCUGUCUGUUGCAAGUGGGCUGCCGAUGGGCUCUGCUCAUCACAUCAUUUAACUCUUUGCUAAACAUUACAUGUCUGAACAUUUCAUAUUUUUAAUGUGAAAACAACUUUUGACAACGGAUCUCUUGGCUCUC
RNAcentral lists this unclassified non-coding RNA (285 nucleotides) under Chytridiomycota sp. RNAcentral's name for it is "partial contains small subunit ribosomal RNA, internal transcribed spacer 1, and 5.8S ribosomal RNA". The stretch from base 1 to 47 matches the Rfam family "Eukaryotic small subunit ribosomal RNA", at positions 1785 to 1831 of the family's 1831-position model. Lineage: Eukaryota; Fungi; Chytridiomycota. The record is from RNAcentral.